UACCUGCAGCCCUGCGGGCUCGGCGCGCCCUCCAGACCCCAGCGCUCGCGCCGCCCUCUCCCCGCCGCUGAGCGAGUAAACCCGGGAAAAGCAUCCGGCGGCCUCAGGGAGCCCUAAAGAAGCCGAAGCAGAAUGUACCAGGGACACAUGCAGGAUGUAAGAGGACGCCAUGCUUGCGUGAUGAUACGAAGCAAUGUGACUGACAAGGCAUCUGUGACAUCAUAUUUUGCUAUCACCAGAGGGUUUACCUGAACACAAGGUGAAACUGUGACAGUGGAUCUGAUAACUGUUAAACUCUUAGUGACGAACAGGCAGGUGGUGAAUACAGCAUUGGACAAAAGGAUGCCGAAGAGGCUGAGGACAGAAAGGCACGGCACAAGAUUUCAUUCAAAAUUUAUAAAUUGUUUAUUCCUGGAAAUUUCCAUUUAAUAUUUUCAGACCAUAGUUGACUAUGUAAUCGACAGUGAGGAGAAAAAAGCUGCAGAUAAGGGAGG
This 494-nucleotide long non-coding RNA is filed under the name Fukomys damarensis (Damara mole-rat). RNAcentral's name for it is "lncRNA (ENSFDAG00000027398.1)". Lineage: Eukaryota; Metazoa; Chordata; Mammalia; Rodentia; Bathyergidae. The record is from RNAcentral.